UACGAAGGGGGCUAGCGUUGUUCGGAAUUACUGGGCGUAAAGGGCGCGUAGGCGGUGUGUCAAGUCAGGCGUGAAAGCCCCGGGCUCAACCUGGGAACCGCGCUUGAGACUGGCACGCUCGAGUUCGGGAGAGGAUGGUGGAAUUCCCAGUGUAGAGGUGAAAUUCGUAGAUAUUGGGAGGAACACCAGUGGCGAAGGCGGCUCACUGGACCGGAACUGACGCUGAGGCGCGAAAGCGUGGGGAGCAAACAGG
RNAcentral lists this ribosomal RNA (253 nucleotides) under uncultured bacterium. RNAcentral describes it as "partial 16S ribosomal RNA". It matches the Rfam family "Bacterial small subunit ribosomal RNA", at positions 524 to 776 of the family's 1533-position model. The record is from RNAcentral.